RNAcentral lists this ribosomal RNA (468 nucleotides) under uncultured bacterium. RNAcentral describes it as "partial 16S ribosomal RNA". It matches the Rfam family "Bacterial small subunit ribosomal RNA", at positions 28 to 507 of the family's 1533-position model. The record is from RNAcentral.
GACGAACGCUGGCGGCGUGCUUAACACAUGCAAGUCGAACGGAAAGGCCCUGCUUUCGUGGGGGGUUCGAGUGGCGAGCGUGUGAAUAACAUGUGAAUCACCUGCCUUUUACUUUGGGAUAUCUUCAAGAAACCGGGGAUACUACCGGAUAGUAGCUCCUGCUGCAUGGGGGGGGUUGGAAAGUUUCGGCGGUUGGGGAUGGAGUUGCGGGUUAUCAGCUUGUUGGUGGGGUAGUGGCUUACGAAGGCUUCGACGGGUAGCCGGCCUGGGAGGGUGAACGGCGACAUUGCGACUGAGAUACGGCGCAGACGCCUACGGGAGUCAGCAGUGGGGAGCAGUACACAGUGGGCGGGAGCCUGAUGCGGCAACGCCGGGUGUGGGAUGACGGCCUUCGGGUGGUAAAGCGCAUUCGCCUGUGACGGAGCGGGAGUGACGGUAAUGGGAGAAGAAGCACCGGCUAACUACGUG